AUUGAACGCUGGCGGCAUGCUUUACACAUGCAAGUCGAACGGCAGCGCGGGCUUCGGCCUGGCGGCGAGUGGCGAACGGGUGAGUAAUAUAUCGGAACGCACCCAAGAGUGGGGGAUAACGUAGCGAAAGUUACGCUAAUACCGCAUACGAUCUAAGGAUGAAAGCAGGGGAUCGCAAGACCUUGUGCUCCUGGAGCGGCCGAUAUCUGAUUAGCUAGUUGGUGAGGUAAAGGCUCACCAAGGCAACGAUCAGUAGCUGGUCUGAGAGGACGACCAGCCACACUGGAACUGAGACACGGUCCAGACUCCUACGGGAGGCAGCAGUGGGGAAUUUUGGACAAUGGGGGCAACCCUGAUCCAGCAAUGCCGCGUGAGUGAAGAAGGCCUCGGUGUAAG
This 396-nucleotide ribosomal RNA is filed under the name uncultured bacterium. RNAcentral describes it as "bacterial SSU rRNA". It matches the Rfam family "Bacterial small subunit ribosomal RNA", at positions 30 to 429 of the family's 1533-position model. The record is from RNAcentral.